Cinara cedri is the source of this 505-nucleotide non-coding RNA. The record is from the annotation of a GenBank genome assembly. Lineage: Eukaryota; Metazoa; Arthropoda; Insecta; Hemiptera; Aphididae.
UUUUUUUUUUUUUUUUUUUUUAAGGCAUUACAGUGCUAUUAAAUUCGCACGGAUCGGCGAACGAAAGAAAAAAACGAAUUAAACAAAAUAUUAUAAAAGUAUAAUACAGUCGGUAUAUUUGCGGCCGAAACCGCAGGAUCUCACGUUUUUCAUUUAAAAAUCAUAGUCUCGCCAUUGUCUUUGCACGUUUUCAUUUUUCAUUCGUAUUUUAUUUUAUUAUUAUUUUUAUUUUUUUUUUUUUUAUUAGUGUUGACGUGUUAAUAAAUGGUACCGAUUCGGACCGCCACUGGUAAUAGGACUAUAGUACGAUCAUUUAUCUGACAGCCGGAAUCCUAAACGUACACUGCCCGUGGCCCGAGGUCGAAAUCCCCUUUGGCCUCAGAUGGCCGAGAGGGCCGGAGAGAAAUAUAAAAAUAAAAUACAAUUCAUGAGAGUUUAGUGCGUGUAGUGUAUGUGUGUGUCGGUCGGUUCCCGCGAUUCCGGAAACCGAUAUAAUUGAAUUUAC